UGCCCAAGUUGUCAACAAGCAUGGAACAACUUAUAACAGUUGAAAUUAUAAGACUUCUUGCAAGGUUGUUCCAACAAGUCUGAUACAUGCAGUCAUGAAAUAACAAUAUUGUUACAAGUUUGUGUCGUCAACCUUGUAACAUUCUUGUUAUAUCAUGACUGUAUCAGACUUGUUAGAACAACCUUGUAACAAAUCUUAUAAAAUUUCAACUGUUAUAAGCUGUUCCAUGCUUGUUGACAACUUGGGUC
Molecule: non-coding RNA, 248 nt
Organism: Paramuricea clavata
Lineage: Eukaryota; Metazoa; Cnidaria; Anthozoa; Malacalcyonacea; Plexauridae
Source: the annotation of a GenBank genome assembly